Molecule: ribosomal RNA, 253 nt
Filed under: uncultured bacterium
Lineage: Bacteria
Description: partial 16S ribosomal RNA
Rfam family: Bacterial small subunit ribosomal RNA
Source: RNAcentral
UACAGAGGGGGCAAGCGUUGUUCGGAAUUACUGGGCGUAAAGCGCGCGUAGGCGGCUUUGCAAGCCGGAUGUGAAAUCCCCGGGCUUAACCUGGGAACUGCAUUCGGGACUGCAUUGCUCGAGUAUGGGAGAGGGAAGUGGAAUUUCAGGUGUAGCGGUGAAAUGCGUAGAUAUCUGAAGGAACAUCAGUGGCGAAAGCGACUUCCUGGACCAAUACUGACGCUCAUGUGCGAAAGCGUGGGGAGCAAACAGG